CAGCCGCCGCGGUAAUACGUAGGGGGCGAGCGUUGUCCGGAAUUAUUGGGCGUAAAGCGCGCGCAGGCGGUCCCUUAAGUCUGAUGUGAAAGCCCACGGCUCAACCGUGGAGGGUCAUUGGAAACUGGGGGACUUGAGUGCAGAAGAGGAGAGCGGAAUUCCACGUGUAGCGGUGAAAUGCGUAGAGAUGUGGAGGAACACCAGUGGCGAAGGCGGCUCUCUGGUCUGUAACUGACGCUGAGGCGCGAAAGCGUGGGGAGCAAACAGGAUUAGAUACCCUGUUAGUCCACGCCGUAAACGAUGAGUGCUAAGUGUUAGAGGGGUUAAACCCUUUAGUGCUGUAGCUAACGCGUUAAGCACUCCGCCUGGGGAGUACGGCCGCAAGGCUGAAACUUAAAGGAAUUGGCGGG
Molecule: ribosomal RNA, 410 nt
Filed under: uncultured microorganism
Description: bacterial SSU rRNA
Rfam family: Bacterial small subunit ribosomal RNA
Source: RNAcentral